UGUUAGGUUUUUCGGAAUAGUGC
RNAcentral lists this non-coding RNA (23 nucleotides) under Arabidopsis thaliana (thale cress). The record is from RNAcentral. Lineage: Eukaryota; Viridiplantae; Streptophyta; Magnoliopsida; Brassicales; Brassicaceae.